AUCUUUAACCUCUAAAUCUCAGACAUUAAACACAUAAAUUCAUCUGAUCAGCUGAGAACCAACUACAUAUAAAAAAUUUAAACAUUUUUAACCAACAAUUAUAUGUAUAGCUAUCCUUGUAAACCAACAUUUAAAUACAGUCUGAAAAGCAAGGCAGGGGGUAUGGUAUUAAAAGUAACUCAUUGAAUUGUUUUCCGUUCAUAUCUUCUAACUAUUAUCAAGAUCAGGAUCCAAGUAAAAAAAUUCUUCACCAAUACAAUAAACUAGUUAUAAUACAAAUAUAAAGUGAAAUAG
This 294-nucleotide unclassified non-coding RNA is filed under the name Hevea brasiliensis (rubber tree). Lineage: Eukaryota; Viridiplantae; Streptophyta; Magnoliopsida; Malpighiales; Euphorbiaceae. The record is from RNAcentral.